RNAcentral lists this unclassified non-coding RNA (1359 nucleotides) under Leishmania donovani. Its description in RNAcentral is "gene:LdHU3.36.7220(CDS-product:vacuolar_protein_s orting-associated_protein-like_protein)". The record is from RNAcentral. Lineage: Eukaryota; Euglenozoa; Kinetoplastea; Trypanosomatida; Trypanosomatidae.
GAGUGAGCAUUGCGCCGUUUCGGGAAACGUUCUUUUGUCAGCUUGCCCCCUCGUUUCAUCGCCGAGUGUUUGUGUGCACGUUUUUUUUUUGUUUGCCUACCUCACCUGCGCCACUCGAAGCGCUCACAAGCGCCAGCCGCUGCAACAGCACAAGCCGCUGCGUGUUUUCUUACGCGUGCACGCAUACACAUAUAUGCAUAUUUGUUUCUGACAUCUACUUACCUGCCUGUUCCAUAUAGCCGGUAAGAAGAUACGAGAUGGCGUCGAUUGAAAUUCCGCCUGAGGAUCGGCAGCAUAUCGACUACCUCGCCGAUCUUUUUGCCGUCAUCGUUGCCAUCGAGCAGAUCGAGAAGGCCAACCGCCGAGACCUGAUCAAUCAAGACCAGUACGACACCACAGUUCGUAGGCUUCUGGAGAAGUACAAGAAUACCGUAGCGCACCUGCAGGGCGCACGCAACCCGUACUUCACGACGAUCGAUGACUUCUUUGACAAGUACUGCGCGCGCUUUCUGGCGGCACGGGCGACGAUCCGGGACGGUCCGAUGAGCAGCCCGAAUGAAAACAACGCUCGCUUUCUCGCGCGUCAGUCGGUGGAGUGUAGCGACCACUUUAUCACCUUGCUUGACUCUCUGCGCCUCCAGCAGACCUCCGUCGAUGUUCUUAACCCACCUCUCGGCGACCUUCUGCAAGUCUUGCGAAAGCUGGGCCUGAGCAAGGAGGAGUUCUGCGUGCGCCUGCAGAAUUGGCAGCGACGUCUGGACAGCAUGAGCGCCGCGGACAUGUUGGACGAGUCCGCGGCGCGUGACUUCGCCUACGACCUAGAUCGCGGGUAUGCCUGCUUUAAGGCGUUCUUGGAGAGUGAUCCGACGCUGUCCACGCGAAGGUAGGAAGAGAGAGGGGGGCUUUCGUUUGCCUUGGACUUCUGCACAUGCGCGGAGUGGACGAUUGACGUCUCUCGCGCUCUCUCUCUCUCCGCUCUGCUGAUGCUGUGUUGAGAUACAGACGGGCCUCCAACAGUUCGGGUGCGCUGUUAUCGUUGUUCUCUCUCCGUGGUGCCUCUGUAUGUGGAAUAGUUGCCAAGCUGAGUUUGCGCGUGAUUGUCAUCCUCCUAUGCAGACGGCUGCUGGAGGCAGUGAUAGCGAUGGCAGCGGAGGCCACCAUCUGGGCGCGUGUUGGUGCCCCUUUCUCUGUGAUUAGCGUGCCUCUGUCUCCGCUCAUUGUGGCCGAUCGACUUGCAGUUCUCGGUCCCACCACAUCGUGGCACCUUCUUAGUCCUGUUGUCUCCUAUGCCUCUCGAUACCCUCUAUCUUUUCGAAUUUUUUUUCUAUGACAGGCAAGACGUAUAUCCAUCCGCACACG